UCGGAGCGUGUGGUUUAAUUCGACGAUACGCGAAGAACCUUACCUGGGUUUGACAUCAAGGUAGUAGCAAGGUGAAAGCUGCGCGACCCUUCGGGGAGCCUCGACAGGUGCUGCAUGGCUGUCGUCAGCUCGUGUCGUGAGGUGUUGGGUUAAGUCCCGCAACGAGCGCAACCCUCGUCGUUAGUUACAAGUGUCUAACGAGACUGCUGGUUUCAAACCGGAGGAAGGUGGGGAGGACGUCAAGUCAGCAUGGUCUUUAUA
Molecule: ribosomal RNA, 261 nt
Filed under: uncultured bacterium
Lineage: Bacteria
Description: partial 16S ribosomal RNA
Rfam family: Bacterial small subunit ribosomal RNA
Source: RNAcentral